Manis javanica (Malayan pangolin) is the source of this 5211-nucleotide long non-coding RNA. RefSeq lists it as uncharacterized. NCBI's taxonomy places the organism in Eukaryota, Metazoa, Chordata, Mammalia, Pholidota, Manidae. The record is from RefSeq and is a predicted model, not a curated record.
CACGUUUCAAAUGGGAGGCUAAAAAAACAAACAAAAACAUAGACGGGGUUAAAAAUGGUGAGCUUUUCUUUUUACCAGUUUUUAUCGCUCUCUUUUUUUAAAGGUAGUGUCCAAGAACACCCCUCCACCCCUCCAGUAUUUCCCACUCCCCAAGACAUUUCUGGCAAAUGGCAAAGUCCAUGACCCCUGCUCCAUCUCACCUCCUUGGAGGUGAGCCAGAACUAGCCUCACUGCCCUCCCUCAGAAAUGCUGUGCAAGCAAGGAGGGACCAGGCUCACGGAAGAGGCCUGGGAUGUUCUGAAGUCCCAGAUCGCGCAGGGCCUGAGCAGUAGGGAGAAGUCUGAGGAGCACGCUUUGUGAAAGGAGUAACACAGAGCCAUCUUCUGGAAAACUCCCAGGACUAUGCCACAGUGGAGUCCCAUUUGGGAAUGAGGUCAAGAACUGGGUGUUGCCCAGGCUGGAGGCUAGGCUGCCUUCCCUGACUGCUCUCUCUCCCGGGGUCUACAUUGUGUCUGCACAUACCCAGGGUCCUUGGGGGGCUAUUGCUCAGGCCUCCAGAGCUAGGGAGGAGACCAAAAGUGGGAAGGUGCUUCCUUUCAGCCCUGGCUAAGAGAAUCUGCAUUCUGUGCCCUUACAGGAGGAUGUGAAGGUGUUUGGGGCACUGUGCUGUUCCAGCUCUGAGCCCCUGGGGGUGGGGGACGGGUUCACCAUCAUCUCCCAGUCCUGCCAUACCAGUCCCCCAGCUACCCCUGUGUGUCCUCCCCCACCUCCAAGACAGGUGUCCAGGGACAUUGGUGUGAUCAUCCCCAUGUGGUCCAAUUAGGCCCCUCUGAGCUCAGGACCCUGGCACCUUGUCCAUGUGGGACAGUCUCAAGACAGGUAAUGUCCUUAAACAAAAAUUAACCUUGAGACCAAGAAAGAGCCUUUUGUCAGCUGCCCUUGGCUUUCCUCUCUGAGGCUGUGGGAGUAAGGGUGUUUGAGCAAAGAAAGGAAGUGAAAGAAAACAGCCAAAAAUCAAAACGAAACUGACCAACACGUACAUGUUUGCUGCUGAGACCUGAGGUCCGGGGAGGGGCAGCCCCACUCUCCCUGCUGAGGCUUCUGGGGUAGCCUUCAGGUGUCCGGGGAACCUGCAGGCCUGCCGACCCCAAGACCCCUGUGUCCACCCAAUAACCAUAUCAGUACUGCAGCCCUCCAGGUGGGAGCUCUCCCCCAAAAGGCAAAAGAGGAUCAAUAGGCAAAAGUGGAUGCAAGACUCUCUGGGGCCUGGGAGAACCCCGACCCUGGCCCAGCCCACCCACCUGGGAGGGGCUAGAAGCCUGCCUCCUCCCUCCACAGCUCCUACCAUCACCAUGCCUCUCCAUAGGUCUUAAGGAGUCCAUGCCCCUCUUGGGGGAUGGGUGGGAACAGUUUUUGGGUGGCGCUGGUGUGGACUCUGUGAGGGAGUGAUACCCUGGGUGAUGCCUUAGGAAGGAUGGGACAUGACAGUGGAACCUGCAGGUUUGAGACAUCUGUUCAAGUGUGGGCAGUGCAGGGGAAGGGACAGACUCCUUGGAGCAGGGACUGAGAUAGGGUUUGGAGAUCUGAGAGAAGGGGAGGGGCUAGUGAGGGGGUGGAGGGAGGAAGAGCGAGCCUCAGAGAGUGGGAAAGGGCUUGGGUGGGGAGAGGGAGCUUCAGGGCCCAAGUGAUGUGGACAGGAGGCCCUUCUCUUGCAUCCUGUUCUUGACUGCGACCCCUAUGGAUAUCCAUGCCCCUCCCACCCCAAUAUACCUGCGGGGAGGGACGCAGGAGACCCUGGUUCCUCCCCAGGGCUUGUACCCAACUGGAGUGCCCCGUUGGUCAAGUUUCCUCUGGCCUGCAUUUCGCCAAGUUCAAGGGUAGCCUAAGCCUGCAGGCCCCUCGCACCCAGACCCUGGGGCCUAGUGGACCAACAACCAAGCAGUCCUGGCCACUCCCAUUCGGGGAGGGAGCAUGGAGAGGGGAAGCGGCGCCUCCCUUCCGGGGUGUACACUCACCGCUUCCUACCCUGCGGCGACCCCCGACCUAGCCCGGCGGCGCAGCCCGGCGGCGCGGGAACCCUACGCAAAGCUAAGCGGAGAAAAGUGGUGGUGACACAUGAAACAGAGACAAAGCAAGGAGGAUGGGCCACAGCUACAAGGGGAAGGAAUGCUCAGGGACACCUCAGUAGCAAAGCACCCACUUCAUCAACUCUGGAGACUGAUCUGGUUCUGUUUCGUUUUCAGCAAAAGAAUGUAACCUAAAUCUAACAGGGUUAGCUUGUUUAUUUCAAGAAUGCCAGUCAAUUCCCAAACAUCAGCCUGACCCUGGCAGCCUUGAAGCCACACAGGUUACAGUGCCAGCUGCUCCACUGUCACCCUGCAGACUCACUCAUCUGAUUCAUCUUCCAAAUGCAGCCGGGGCUGGCUGAACUGGUGAUGGCGAUCAUCCUGCAGAGGUGCAUGUCCGCAGUGUGCCAGCAGCUAUCCCUCAUGCUGACAUAUACUGUCGCAUUUAAUUUCUCAACGAUCCUAUGAGGAGGCAAAGGCUGCAAUGGGGAGAGACGGUGCUACCCAAACCAUCCUCUCCCUGGGGAGGUGGCGGUGUCUGCCAACCUAAGGCCAUGGAGGAGGCCUGGCUAGCAAGGCAAAGACUCAGACUGAAAGUCCAGGACGUGGUCAGGGGAGUGGAGCAGGGAGGGCGAUAAUGUCUGUCUCAGUGCCUGCCUCUGGCUCAGACAUGCCCCCCCAGCCAGUCUGGCUCUUUCAGAGACAAGGGAAGGACAUACCAAAUCUGUUGCUGCUGUGGGGACUUUCUGGGUGGCCCUCUGGGGCUGGCGUGGGGUGAGGAGACACUGCAUUUUAAAAGAGGCCCCUGGAGUGGAAAAUGUUUCUUUCUGCCUGUCUCUGCUCAGAAUCACUUCCUUGGUUGUUAAUUUGAUCUUCACCACAGCUCUGAGGUGGGUGGCCUUCCUAUUUCCAUUUUGCAGGUGAGGAAGCCCAACAGGGAGAGGGAGGGUUCCAAGCUCAAAGCCGUGCUCUGUCCACCUCAGGGGUGGUAGGUAGGGGGGGCAGGGGUAGGUCAGUGGGGGAAUGUCAGAGUGACUCCAGUGCAGCCUCACACCAGAGAAUUAACAGGCCAUCCAGUAGCAUUAAGGAAGGAAUUGGUUUUUAAUGGGGCCAAAGAAUAUGUGUUCCUGGGACUAGUAGGUAUAUUUAUGAAGUGUCUGAGAACCUGGUAAGUAAUGUGAAUGGACCAGCAUUUUUAGAAAUGGAUAUUAAGGACUGGGUUUGAUAAGACAGCAAGAGUCCCUGGUGUCUGUAGAGCACCUUCUGGGGACUGGCUGGGUAGGGAGAGCCCUGUGUGUGCCUUAGUCCACGGGACCCUCAUAACAACUCCCUAUGAUACAGGCCAGUCAGUGCCUGUGGCUUGCCCAAGAUCACAGGCCUGGACUGUUGAGGUCCAGAGCAGCUGUGCCCUUCACGAAUCAGGAUGCUGCCAAGGGAUGGGGCGGGCAGGGGGACGGUAACUUGAGCGCUAGCUUUGUGGGAGAUUGCAGUCUGAGGGUCACUUGGAGUUGGGCUUGGGUGGGGGAAGGGGCCCUGACCAAAGGGAUGGGGCUCUGAGAGGGGAAGGGGACAGUUUCUAAGAAUAAAGCACAGAAGUCUGGCCCGCCUGUGCCCCAGGCACCCCUCCUGUUCCCUUACCACACUCAUUGAGUACACUCCCUUGGCUCCUGGAGUCUCCAAACUCAGCAGGAUUUGCAGGUUUAAUUAAGGUCCUGGGCUCUCUCUGUAGAAGGAUACUCCACUCAUGUGCACACUCAACCCUGCCCCUGGGGAUCUCAUUUCCUCUGUCCAGAACCACAGCUCAUCAAACCUGUUUAUACUGCCAGCUGGAGGCUUCCUUUCAGUCUUCAGCAGCCUUCCACCCAUCUAUCUCUGCAGGGACCGUCCCCACUCCAACCUGGUCCCCAGCCGGAGGUGAACACCAAGUCCCUACGCUCCUUUCUUUUCCUUACGAGUGGCCCUGACUAGCAGCCCCCUGGAGACCCUGGAUUCAGGCCCAGCCAUGUCCCUGUCUUCCUGAUGGCUUUCAGCUAAUGACUGUCUCUUUCUGAGUCUCAGUGCCUCCUGGGCUCCAGACAUGGUCUUAGCUGCCUCUUAGGGAGCCCAGGAGGCCUGGAUGGGCAGAGGUGUGGUUGGUUUGGAAGAACUGCUGUACACAGACUGUCUGUGCUGAUGUAGCUCCAGGCCCAAUGCACUGGGGAUUUCUGAUUUCUUGGCUCACUGACAGUGCAAAUCUGAUGGGCAGAUAUUGUUCCCCACUUUGACUCCCUCAACAGCCAGCCCACUGGUUUCAAAGUACUCAGGGUAGAUGCAAAAGGGAGCUUUGGGACCACCAGUUUCCCUUGAUGCAGCACACAUGGGAAUGUCUUUGCUCUCUGUUGCUUUGCCUGCAGCUCUGUGUGUGAGGGCUGUCUCAUCUCCACUGACUUUCUGAGGAGGUCCCUAAGUCCUCACUGACUGAUCUAUGCACAACCCUUCCUUUUCAGCCUCAAGAACUCCUACACAUUCUUCAAGGCCCAUUCAAAUGUCUUCUCUCAGAAUUUCUCCUCUGAGCUCCUGAAGCACUUGGCCCUCUCCUGUCCUGUCCUAUAACCAUGAUUCUGAUCUGCUUUGUGGUACGGCUGGCUGUUACCACGACUGUUUCCCUUCUGAGAUGGGGAGGGAGUUGGGGGUUGGGGAGUGGUCUUUGAGGAAGGGACUAAUCCAGCUCUGGGGCCCAACAUUGCCCUGCACAGUGCCUGACACACUUGUGAGCCCCGUGACUGGUUCUGAACUGGAAACCACAGUAGCCAUCACACAUAGUAACAGCCCUUUGUGCUUUUCUGCCUGGCUGCAGCACACGCUUGGCAAGUCCAGGCAGCUCAAUCCGCCCAUUUUAUAGAAGGGGAAACUGAGGCCUUGAGUUGCCAUUGAUGUUUCCAUGCCUUUCUCCCCUGCUGGACUGGAUGUGUUUGGAAGGACUGUGUCUUCUUGGCUUCUGAGCCCAGUUCAUAGCUUGGCACAGCUUACAGGACAAAUAAGCAAAUGAAUGAAUGGAAGUUCGGCUGGGCUUGCAAUGGUUCCACGCUGAGUGGUUCAGACUCUGACCCCUUGCCUGACUCGGCUCCAGGGUCCCGUCCUGUCCGGCCCCGCCCCUUAUCCCCGU